UGUUCUCCAGGUGAGCGCCUGAUUGCCAAAACUUGAACUUUAUUCCCUUGUUCUCCAGGUGGGCGCCUGAUUGCCAAAACUUGAACUAUAUUCCUUUGUUCUCUAGGUGGACCAGGUGGGUGCAUGAUUGCCAAAACAUGAACUGUAUUUCCUUGUUCUUUAGGUGGGCACCUGAUUGCCAAAAACUUGAACUGUAUUCCCCUAUUAUCCAGGUGGGCACCUGAUUGCCAAAAACUUGAAUUGUAUUCCCUUGUUCUCCAUGUGGGUGCCUGAUUGCCAAAACUUGAACUAUAUUUCCCUGUUCUCCAGCUGGGCGCCUGAUUGCCAAAAUUUGAACUGUAUUCACUUGUUCUCCAGGAGGGCACCUGAUUACCAAAACUCUAACUGUAUUCCCUUGUUCUCCAAGUGGGCGCUUGAUUUCCAAAACUUGAACUAUAUUCCCCUAUUCUCCAGCUGGGCACCUGAUUGCCAAAAUUUGAAUUGUAUUCACUUGUUUUUUUGUUGGGCACCUGAUUGCCAAAAUUUGAACUAUGUUCCCUUGCUCUUCAGGUGGGCACUAAUUGUCAAAACAU
RNAcentral lists this long non-coding RNA (572 nucleotides) under Nicotiana tabacum (common tobacco). RNAcentral's name for it is "long non-coding RNA (NTAB_LNC003223)". The record is from RNAcentral. Lineage: Eukaryota; Viridiplantae; Streptophyta; Magnoliopsida; Solanales; Solanaceae.